UGUGGGUGUCUCCCAGAACUGUGUUGGGGUGCUGUUAUCCAAUGUUAAUAAUUUGAAAGGGUUUAGCAGUUUAUAAGUAAAAUUAAAUAACUAAAGAUCAGAAAUGAGCAAUGCAGCAGCCAGCAAGUAUGUUUUCUGGACUUAAGCAUAAGAAAGGAAGGAACAAUGAUAAUAACUACUGUAUACAGGAAACAGACUUAUCAGCCUGUACUAAUCCCAAGUUGGUCACCGAACCCAGUAGCACAGAAGGUGGCUGCAUUCAGAUACUACUUCAAGAGAGCAUACGAAUACACAAUAAGGAGCUAGGAUCUACAAGAGGAGCUCAACUACAUUUACAAAACGGGACAUGAACAUGGAUACUCGCAAGAAGUUCCUUAACAUGAUACACGUCAAAAUUAAAGUGGCCCAAAGUGACGAAGAAAAUAGAAUUAACAGGAUAAGCAAAGGCAGCGAUAGUUUUCUGAGUGUUCCAUAUCAAACCAGUAGUUUAGGGACG
RNAcentral lists this long non-coding RNA (496 nucleotides) under Androctonus crassicauda. The record is from RNAcentral. Lineage: Eukaryota; Metazoa; Arthropoda; Arachnida; Scorpiones; Buthidae.